AUUGAACGCUGGCGGCAUGCUUUACACAUGCAAGUCGAACGGCAGCGCGGGGGCAACCCUGGCGGCGAGUGGCGAACGGGUGAGUAAUGUAUCGGAACGUAUCCUGUAAUGGGGGAUAACCAGUCGAAAGAUUGGGUAAUACCGCAUACGCACGAGAGUGGAAAGUAGGGGAUCGCAAGACCUUACGUUAUAGGAGCGGCCGAUAUCUGAUUAGCUAGUUGGUGGGGUAAAGGCCUACCAAGGCGACGAUCAGUAGCUGGUCUGAGAGGACGACCAGCCACACUGGAACUGAGACACGGUCCAGACUCCUACGGGAGGCAGCAGUGGGGAAUUUUGGACAAUGGGCGCAAGCCUGAUCCAGCAAUGCCGCGUGCAGGAUGAAGGCCUUCGGUUGUAAACUGCUUUGUACGGUAACGAAACGGUAGAGCUCUAAUAAAGACUUGCUAAUGACGGUACCGUAAGAAUAAGCACCGGCUAACUACGUGCCAGCAGCCGCGGUAAACG
RNAcentral lists this ribosomal RNA (504 nucleotides) under uncultured bacterium. RNAcentral's name for it is "bacterial SSU rRNA". It matches the Rfam family "Bacterial small subunit ribosomal RNA", at positions 30 to 527 of the family's 1533-position model. The record is from RNAcentral.